Molecule: unclassified non-coding RNA, 206 nt
Filed under: Hevea brasiliensis (rubber tree)
Lineage: Eukaryota; Viridiplantae; Streptophyta; Magnoliopsida; Malpighiales; Euphorbiaceae
Source: RNAcentral
CAACGUUCAGAUCAGCAGCAUGCGGUUUCUGCCCGCGCAGCGUCAGGCAGAACUCAAAGGCAUGGAGCGCGACCUGGUUCGAAUCUUUUCGGCGGCGGUGGCCGGCGUCGCGCCUCACCUCAAGGGCACGAAGAUGCUCACCCCCGUCACGAUGUCGCUGUUCGGCAUGGUGAACUGGCACUACCUCUGGUUCAAAAGCACGGGAG